Non-coding RNA from Coffea arabica (coffee), 886 nucleotides. The record is from RefSeq and is a predicted model, not a curated record. NCBI's taxonomy places the organism in Eukaryota, Viridiplantae, Streptophyta, Magnoliopsida, Gentianales, Rubiaceae.
CUAAUGUCAUCAGAUUCCUGACCACUGGAGACAAAUUAAAGUGGACAGCUACUACCACUACUCAAAAGGAGACAAGACAGUCAACAAUCAUUCCACCCACUACACCAGUCACUCCAAAAAGAGACAAAGAAAAAGUGACGGAAAUGGCAUCCGAAGAAACAGCCAGUAACUUUUUGAUAAAGCAAAUUAUGCAGAACCCCGAGAUGCUGAAAGAAUAUUUGAAUUAUUUACAAAAGCCAAAAGAAGAAGACAAAAUAGAGGAGCCAGCAGGAUCAUCCGAAUCUACUUUUGAUCCUUUUGAUGAUCCCAUCGGUGGACAAAAUCCAAACGACUUUUGAAAAAGAAUGUCGGCCACCACAAAUGAAAGCAAAAUUCAAAUGAAAUGCAGAAUCGAGCCUCUAUAAAUAGAUUCAAGAUUCAGAAGACAGGCAUCGGCGAAGAAAUAUCAGAAGUUGUAAUAGACUUGUCUUAGUUUUCCUACGAUUACCACUCACUCCGAAGUUCUCCUACUAUUCCCACUCACUCUAAAUAACCAUUGUACUCCAAAGUCUUUGUAGAAGUGGAUUUCAUCAUUACAAUAAAGUCUUCAAGGUUGGAAUUCAUUACAAGCUUCCGUUAGGCACUCAACAAUCAAAACUUGAUUCAUGACAUAAAAUGCAGCACAACUCCAAGGUGAUUUUGAAGGUGUUAUUAAUCCUUUUUCUAUUAAUAUUUUUAUUUCCUUCUUACAAAAUUCUAGUAAUUCAGAAUUCAUCUGUAUUGGUCUAGCUUUUGUUGGAAUAUUCUUUUCUUCAAAGUCCUUUUCAUAAGGUAAUUCUAUCAUAUGUUGUUUUCUAUCCCAAAAAGCAUUAGGAAUAUCUGCACAAAUUUCUUUUUGAAAUAAUUC